This 296-nucleotide ribosomal RNA is filed under the name uncultured bacterium. Its description in RNAcentral is "partial 16S ribosomal RNA". It matches the Rfam family "Bacterial small subunit ribosomal RNA", at positions 334 to 644 of the family's 1533-position model. The record is from RNAcentral.
UUUGCCUACGGGGGGCAGCAGUGGGGAAUAUUGGACAAUGGGGGGAACCCUGAUCCAGAGAUGCCGCGAGGGUGAAGAAGUAUUUCGGUAUGUAAAGCUCUAUCAGCAGGGAAGAAAGAAAUGACGGUACCUGACUAAGAAGCCCCGGCUAACUACGUGCCAGCAGCCGCGGUAAUACGUAGGGGGCAAGCGUUAUCCGGAUUUACUGGGUGUAAAGGGAGCGUAGACGGCGAUGCAAGUCUGAAGUGAAAGGCGGGGGCCCAACCCCCGGCCUGCUUUGGUAACUGGAUAGCUGG